RNAcentral lists this non-coding RNA (88 nucleotides) under Apocalathium aciculiferum. Lineage: Eukaryota; Dinophyceae; Thoracosphaerales; Thoracosphaeraceae. The record is from RNAcentral.
AAGCACGGCUUCGCAGCGCGCAAACGGGGAGGUUCCCUGAGAUGCUGCGAGGAAAGUCCCCGUGCCUUGGUGCAGAGAGUGCGAGUGG